UGUGCUGAAAUUUCACUUUUCUGUCUGCAGCAUUCAUGAAAGUAAUAAAACUGCUGCUGACUCUGGAGGUCUCAGGGAGUCACUGCAGGCACAAACUGUCCUUGCAGCAUCUUGUAUGGAAAAGGGGCUAUUCCAGGCAGCUCUUCGUGGCACUCCAUUUCAUAACCCAAACUUAAGUAAUGCUGCGUCUUUGCCAGUGUCUCUGUUUAAAUGGUUGAGACUGGCAAGUGUUUGAUGCAAAAAAUACUUCUGCAUGAGCAAAUGUUAUUUUCUUUAUGAGGACUAGACUGACAUGAGCUUUUGAGAAGUAAACAGAGAGAAAUGUAUAGACAAGACAAAUGGGCGGAUGAUAAAAUUGGUCCUUUACUCUGAACUGUUUCUAACAUAAUUCAAAAUAGCAGCUUUGGAAGAUGGCACUUCCUUUUAUAGUUCCUUUUCAGAAAUAAUAAGAGCAGUUUGCUAGAAUCUUGGUCUAACUAUUUAAUCACUACAUUACCUUUAAGCUAAGGUUUGCCUCCCAUCAUUAAGUAAUUCACUCAAGGUAACAAGUGAAAUAAAGUCAGAGGGAUAUAGUAGUCUCAAGAUGUAAGCCUUAUUUUACAAUAAAGAACAGUGUGGUUAGUCUUUCUCCAGAGGGUUGGUUUUUUUUUUGGUGCUUUCUUGCUUUGCUACAGCUUGCAGAAAACAGAGAUUACAAUACGCAUUUGCUAAUCAAUAUUAAACUAGUAGAGUAAAAUGUCAGGGAGGAAAAAAUUGAAAUCAUACUACAUUUCAACACCAACAGAGAAAAUCCCAGCAUUGUUAAAUGGCAGCAAUAAAACUAGCAAUUGUUAUUUAGUUUUAAGUAAUGAACCAAAUAAAAAAUACAGAACUUGCUACAUUGCCUUCCAAAUGAAGCUUAUUACACUGCUGCUUGAAUGUUUGUACAAUCUUUAAUUUAAACAUUUUCUCUUCAGGUCUUAAUAAUAGGCAUGGGUAGUUGUAAUUUACUUCCUCUUCAAAGGCAAAAAAUGAAAGAGGAAAACAAAAUGCUUUAACAACUCACAUGUGAGCAGAAGUAGCUCAUUCAGCCAGAGGAGGCUGGUAGGGCUGAAAGUCAGAGAAUUUCACCCCGCGAUUUAUCUUUCAGCCAGGUAAGGGCACGAUUAGCAUCUUGGAUUCAGAUGCUCACCUGCAAGGAUGUUGAGAAAAUUUCUUACGUGAGGACGUCCUUUGUGAGGAAGGAAAUAUUCAUAGUGAUGCUGAAGCUUAUGACUCGAAGCUGCACAUCGACAGUAACCUGCAGUGAGGAGGGCAAGAAAGAAUUAAAGGGGUGCUAGUCACAGCAGAUUUCAUCAAGGAUAAAUCCCAAUAUGGUUUAAUCACUGCUCAGUUUUAAACACUUUUCAUGAAAUAUUUGCAUUUUUAUGUCUGUUAAAGGCUUCAGUAGUUACUACCUCUUUGAUUUCCCAAAUUUGCUAUAAUGGUGUUAUGUUUAAAUACAUCUGUAUGUAUAAUAAUCUUUAACAUUGCUGAUCCUCUAUGUAAUGAAGUAGACUUUUCACUGUUGUAAAUAGGACUGAUGUGUGAUUAAUAAACCGAGCCAAAGAGUA
Long non-coding RNA from Pezoporus flaviventris, 1592 nucleotides. RefSeq lists it as uncharacterized. Lineage: Eukaryota; Metazoa; Chordata; Aves; Psittaciformes; Psittacidae. The record is from RefSeq and is a predicted model, not a curated record. The transcript has 3 exons.